UUGCUCAUUUGGUCCUGCUAGCUUGACAGAGGUUGGAAUAUUCCAUCUGCGACUUGCUCUCUUUGGCGAAAGGAUAUUUCUUGAUGCAUUCGACUUUAUUUGAUAAUCUAACGAGUUUGUAUGAAAAUGUCUUAGAAGUAUGGGAGAACAUACAGAGGAAUGCCAUUGAAAUGCAUGCUCAAGAUAAAAUUAUACUGAGUCCUGCGGAUAGUUGGUUACAUUUGUAGACUCGACGCAAUUAGAAACAUAUCUAAAUCACGGUAGGACAAAGGAUAAAAAAUUUGAUCAAGAUCUUAUGAUUCUGCGAUAAAGAAUGCGAUGUUUUCCUCCAAAAAUGCACUCCAUCAACGUUGCCAAACCAGCAACGUUGAUGGAGUGCAUUUCUUAGGGUAUGAUUUCUGGAGUAGAAUAUCUGUCAGAAGGGAAUAGAGUCAAUUAUGAUAAAUAUACUAAUCAUGAUUUAUUCUAACCAUGUUUUAAUCUGAAACUGUACAUAAUAAAAUUCCCAUUAUGCAAAAUACCUUGUACCAUACAAAAAAACCUAUUUGUAAUACAGGUAAAAUUAUAUUGUUACUGCAAAGAGCUAUUGUUACAAUUGUAUAAUCAAUAAAUCUUCCAUUUAAUUAAAAAAAUUGACUUCUAGUUAAUUUUAGCCGACUGUUUCGUACAUUUACCCCGAGAAUUUUAAGGUCGCUAUUUAAAAUCAGGCGUUGAAGCCAAUCCGUUGCUAUAUCGUUCGACGUCUUACAAAGUUAACGGCAUUACAUAGUAAAUAAUUAGUUAAUUCACGUUGAAAUACAUUAAGCAUUUGCCAUUUCAAAAAAGAAGAAAAGACAACGGUUUGUAACCUCGUUACUAUUCAAAUUAUUAUACAUUUAUUACUUAUAAUAUGUACUUAAUGCUAUCGAUCAAAGCACUUAUCACGCAGUUAGAACCAUUGAUACAUAUUGCACAAUUGUACUUUUCAUUACUCGGCUGUAUCACUGUUCUUCAUACAAAUAUAUAUAUAUAUUAACAAAUAAGAUGUUAUUAUCGCGGCCAUAGACAUAAGUUAAGAAUCCUGCUAUUUAUAUAUGUAUUAUUUUCUCACUUUUGUAACUAUCUCUCCUAAGUAUCAGACUCUCUUACGUAUCAAUAAGCUUUGUACAUUUCUAUUAGAAUAAUGAGAGAUACGGACGUUUGUUGUAGUGUAAAGAUUAUCCAAAUUAUUACACAUUUAUUACUUAAAAUAUGUACUUAAUGUUAUCGUUCAAAGUACUUCUAUCACGCAGUUAGAACCAUUGAUACAUAUUGCACAAUUGUACUUUUCAUUAUUCGGCUGUAUCACUGUUUUUCAUACAUACAUAUAUAUAUAUAUAU
Solenopsis invicta (red fire ant) is the source of this 1359-nucleotide long non-coding RNA. RefSeq lists it as uncharacterized. The transcript is spliced from 2 exons. NCBI's taxonomy places the organism in Eukaryota, Metazoa, Arthropoda, Insecta, Hymenoptera, Formicidae. The record is from RefSeq and is a predicted model, not a curated record.